This 76-nucleotide transfer RNA is filed under the name Thauera mechernichensis. Its description in RNAcentral is "tRNA-His(gtg)". It matches the Rfam family "tRNA". From Rfam's summary of the family: Transfer RNA (tRNA) molecules are approximately 80 nucleotides in length. Their secondary structure includes four short double-helical elements and three loops (D, anti-codon, and T loops). The record is from RNAcentral. RNAcentral also lists the same sequence under 18 other names. Lineage: Bacteria; Pseudomonadati; Pseudomonadota; Betaproteobacteria; Rhodocyclales; Zoogloeaceae.
GCGGCAUUAGCUCAGUUGGUAGAGCGUUGGAUUGUGGCUCCAAAGGUCACCGGUUCGAAACCGGUAUGUCGCCCCA